RNAcentral lists this ribosomal RNA (1243 nucleotides) under metagenome. Its description in RNAcentral is "bacterial LSU rRNA". It matches the Rfam family "Bacterial large subunit ribosomal RNA", at positions 1564 to 2816 of the family's 2925-position model. The record is from RNAcentral.
UGAAUACGAGAUGCUACGGCGUCGAAGCAGUCUAUGUCAUACUUCCAAGAAAAGCUUGCACUGUCAUAAACAAAUAAUGCCUGUACCAUAACCGACACAGGUGGGUAGGUAGAGUAUACUAAGGGGCGCGAGAUAACUCUCUCUAAGGAACUCGGCAAAAUGACUCCGUAACUUCGGGAGAAGGAGUGCCUUAUUUAUAAGGUUGCAAUAACAAGAUCCAAGCAACUGUUUACCAAAAACACAGGUCUCCGCUAAGUCGUAAGACGAUGUAUGGGGGCUGACGCCUGCCCAGUGCCAGAAGGUUAAAGAAGUUGGUUAGCAUCCGCGAAGCUGAUAACUGAAGCCCUGGUGAACGGCGGCCGUAACCAUAACGGUCCUAAGGUAGCGAAAUUCCUUGUCGGGUAAGUUCCGACCCGCACGAAAGGCGUAAUGAUUUGGAUACUGUCUCGGAGAGGGGCUCGGUGAAAUAGACUUGUCUGUGAAGAUGCGGACUACCUGCACCAGGACAGAAAGACCCUAUGAAGCUUUACUGUAACCUGAAAUUGAAAUUGGACUUUACUUGCGCAGUAUAGGUGGGAGGCGUUGAGAAUAUUCUUGCGGGAUUAUUGGAGCCAUCAGUGAGAUACCACUCUUGUAAUGUUAGAUUUCUAACUUUGUAUCAUUAUCUGGUCAAAGAACAGUUUCAGGCGGGCAGUUUGACUGGGGCGGUCGCCUCCUAAACGGUAACGGAGGCGCACAAAGGUUUCCUCUGAACGGGUAGAAAUCGUAUCUAGAGUGUAAAGGCAUAAGGAAGCUUGACUGUGAGACCUACAAGUCGAGCAGGGACGAAAGUCGGUCUUAGUGAUCUGACGGUGCUGAGUGGAAAGGCCGUCACUCAACGGAUAAAAGUUACUCUAAGGAUAACAGGCUGAUCUCCCCCAAGAGUUCACAUCGACGGGGAGGUUUGGCACCUCGAUGUCGGCUCAUCGCAUCCUGGGGCGGUAGUACGUCCCAAGGGUUGGGCUGUUCGCCCAUGAAAGCGGUACGCGAGCUGGGUUCAGAACGUCGUGAGACAGUUCGGUCCAUAUCCGGUGUAGGCGUUAGAAUAUUGAGAGGAGCCUUCUUUAGUACGAGAGGACCGAGAAGGACAUACCUCUGGUGUACCAGUUAUCGUGCCAACGGUAAACGCUGGGUAGCUAUGUGUGGAGUGGAUAACCGCUGAAAGCAUCUAAGUGGGAAGCCCACCUCAAGAUAAGUAUUCUCA